AACGAACGCUGGCGGCGUGGAUAAGACAUGCAAGUCGAACGGGAUUUUUUCCUGUAGCAAUACAGGGAAAAGUCUAGUGGCGAACGGGUGUGUAACACGUGAGCAACCUGCCGUGAAGUGGGGGAUAGCUCGCCGAAAGGCGAAUUAAUACCGCAUGUGGCCAAGGAAGACAUCUUCCUGACGACAAAGCCGGGGCAACCUGGCGCUUCUCGAGGGGCUCGCGGCCUAUCAGCUUGUUGGUGAGGUAACGGCUCACCAAGGCUAUGACGGGUAGCUGGUCUGAGAGGACGACCAGCCACACUGGAACUGAGACACGGUCCAGACACCUACGGGUGGCAGCAGUCGAGAAUUUUUCACAAUGGGGGAAACCCUGAUGGAGCGACGCCGCGUGGAGGAUGAAGGUUUUCGGAUUGUAAACUCCUGUCAUUAGAGAACAAGGCACACGGUUUAACUGGCCGUGUGUUGAUAGUAUCUGAAGAGGAAGAGACGGCUAACUCUGUGCCAGCAGCCGCCGUAA
This 517-nucleotide ribosomal RNA is filed under the name uncultured bacterium. RNAcentral's name for it is "partial 16S ribosomal RNA". It matches the Rfam family "Bacterial small subunit ribosomal RNA", at positions 29 to 523 of the family's 1533-position model. The record is from RNAcentral.